Equus caballus (horse) is the source of this 1964-nucleotide long non-coding RNA. Lineage: Eukaryota; Metazoa; Chordata; Mammalia; Perissodactyla; Equidae. The record is from Ensembl.
GAAAUCUGUCAGAGUGAGUGCAUAAGUCUCUAACUGAAACAAAGUAAAAUUAUUUUAUUCAUUUUUCUAAAGUCAUCUUCACAAUGGGGUUAGAAAGUAUUUUUAUUCGAUGUGAACUGUACUCCCAUAGCCUUGGCCAUCCCUAUGAUUCUAAAAUCUUAAGUCCUUGGGGCACGGUACCUUGCCAUAUGUAUAGAGACCUACAAUGGAAUUACACCAUUAAGGAUCCUCCUGAAGCGACAGUAGUAGGCUGAAUUAUGUGUACCAUAUGACUCCAGCUAUUAUAACAUAGCUAAUUGGACAAAAGAUGGGAAACUAAGCAAUGCAGCUAAAACAUAGGCUGGUUAGUGACCUAUGAUUGACAUGUUUUGGUAUUAAAAGAGGAUCUGGGUCAAUCAGCAUCUCUCUGUCAGCAAUUUGAAUUAGGAAAACAAGAUAGGUAUCAGUUAGCCGUGGAAGCUAAAGUCAGCAGAAAUGGUCAGAGUCAGACCGUGAUGGCCAUGUGGAAGCUAAGAGUAUAGGGCGGCAGAAACCAUGAAUGAGCAGAAGCUUAAGUGAAUAAAGGACAUAGGGUAGAAGAUGAGGAUUCUGCUGAAGAUACUACAAGAGGAGACACACAAAGAGAUGGAAAGAGUAACAGAGAAUCUUGUCAAUGGUGGAGAUAUUUGACCUUCUGUUGCUGAGAUCUCUGCAGCUGUUGAGCGUCCAGUUUUUGUUUCUAUAUGGCAAGCUUCAUUUGGGUCUUCAUUCAACUACUCAACCACAAAAGUCAGCUGAGCUGGAGAGAAACGGUGAUUCCUAGAAAGUAAAUACCUAGACAUCGGUGGCUCACUACAUCAAGUGUUUUCUGCCAGCUGCAUGCAGGUCACGUUUCCUGUAUCACGCUUUGGCAGGCAGCGAUGCUCUGGUCUGCUCCAACUGCGGUUGUGCAGAGAUUGGUGACAUUGACUUUUGGGGCCAGGCCAAAUGGAUUUCUGGUUCUUGGACUGUGCUAAUCAAUAUAACUUUCUUCCAAAGCCACUUCUCUUCAUCCUUCACUGACAAUUUGGAUGCAUACUGAAGAGGGCAUGAUGAAAAUCUCUGACCUGGUUUUGCAGUCAUGAGAGGUUUGGAGAGCGGCAAUUAAGAUCUAAACAUUUACUUGAUGUUUCAGUGAAGAAUUUCAACUUUAUGAGCCGCUUAACCAAAGUUAAGUAAUUUUUAUUUACUUUCUUUUUUGGAUCUUUGCAUACACUAACAUAUUGCUGUUUUUUAUAACCUGGCUCGUCAACCUCUGUGCAAGUUCUGAGGAGGUGGGGAGCUUUCCUGUGACCCAUUUUCAUCCUUUGAACCUAGACCAGCAACAGGCGUGCUCGUUAUUGUCGCUAUUUCUAAAAUGCACAAACAUUAUCACCAGGUAAAAGCCAGAUCCAUACCAAUGAAGUGAUCCUUCUACCAAUCAGAAAGUACUUGCCUAAAGUGAAUAUAACCUGACGUGGAAGUUAAAUUGCUGGUUCUGGAGAUGGCAGAGUAGGACAAGUGUGAGUGGAAAUUACAGGGAUGUAGAUUUUCCCUCCAUCUGAGGAAGAGCUUGGCAAUAAGUAGCUGUUGAAUUCCUGCUUCACGAUGGAGAAGGAGUUUCCUGUCUCUUGGAUGGAUUUUCGGGAGUCACAGAAGAGAUUAUUGUAUUGUUAGAUGCUCUAUCCUUCCCUCCCUUCCGUUUUCUCUGUCAUCUGUCUUCCUUUUUCAUCCCUUCCAUUUCUCCCUCCCUUUCCUUCCCUUCCCCCCUCUUCCUACUCACUCCUCACACGUGUAUUAAAUUCCUAUGGAGCAUCAGAUACUUUCCUUCUUAAUGUAAAGGUCUGUAAUCAAGAAUGGUGGAAGGGAAGAGCCUGGGUCCCUGAAGAGAUCACAGAACAGAGCUGCCAUAGCCAUCCUACAUUGCCUCCCUUUAGACCUUUAGGGAGAGAAAAAUAAAAGUCUAU